RNAcentral lists this unclassified non-coding RNA (350 nucleotides) under soil metagenome. RNAcentral's name for it is "partial contains 5.8S ribosomal RNA, internal transcribed spacer 2, and large subunit ribosomal RNA". The stretch from base 1 to 120 matches the Rfam family "5.8S ribosomal RNA", at positions 35 to 154 of the family's 154-position model. The record is from RNAcentral.
GAUGAAGAACGUAGCGAACUGCGAUAAGUAAUGUGAAUUGCAGAAUUCAGUGAAUCAUCGAGUCUUUGAACGCACAUUGCGCCCCCUGGCAUUCCGGGGGGCAUGCCUGUCCGAGCGUCAUUGCUGCCCUUCAAGCCCGGCUUGUGUGUUGGGUCGUCGUCCCCCCCGGGGGACGGGCCCGAAAGGCAGCGGCGGCACCGCGUCCGGUCCUCGAGCGUAUGGGGCUUUGUCACCCGCUCGAUUAGGGCCGGCCGGGCGCCAGCCGGCGUCUCCAACCUUCUAUUUUACCAGGUUGACCUCGGAUCAGGUAGGGAUACCCGCUGAACUUAAGAAUAUCAAUAAGCGGAGGA